Molecule: long non-coding RNA, 1434 nt
Filed under: Heterocephalus glaber (naked mole-rat)
Lineage: Eukaryota; Metazoa; Chordata; Mammalia; Rodentia; Bathyergidae
Description: lncRNA (ENSHGLG00000044438.1)
Source: RNAcentral
GAAAUAUAAGGCCCUUGUAUGUGCCCCCAAUAGCCAUAUUCUUCACAGGUUGACUUUGUGAUAUACUUGGAGAUAAAUCAAUAUGCACAAAAAUGGGAGAAAUUUUAUUUCCAGAGAGGCAUGUUUUGCCAUCUGAGUCUCUAUGAAACAACUUCCAUGAUUGAUGUCUAAAAUAUUUCUCACUGGGAGUGAGAAAUCUCAGUCUAAGCCCUGACAAAGCCCUGCAGCUCCACAUUCAUUACCUAGACAGAGUGUUAUAUUCAGCGAAAAGGUGUGACAGCGACUUUCUUGAACUCUGGGGAUCAAACUCAGGAUGUUGUGUUUGUCAGGCAGAUGCAGUGCCACUGAGCUACAUCCCCAGCCCCAAGAAUGGCUUUUCUCUAAGAAGAUGUACACUGAAGAUUUUAGGGAUAAAGGGACAUAUGAGUUAUGAUUGCAAAAUACAGUGAAUGUUUGAACUGAAAAAAUAAUUAUUACAGUAAAAAACACAUGGCCAUUAAUCUUCUCCAAAAUUCUCCCCCUUACUUCAAACACUCUGAGUCCAUCAUUCUUGACAUUUUCUGAAGCAGCUCUGGAAGUCCUCUUUUGUGACUGUCUUUAGUUGAGCUGUCCUGGCUGCCUUGAUGUGCUGAGUCAAUUCUAAAUGUGUUUACCUUUCAUGGUCAUUUUGACUUUGUGGAAGAGCCAGAAGUUCUAGAGGCCAGAUCAGGUGAAUCAGGCGGCUGAGGAAUCACUGCCAUGUUUUUAGAAGCCUGCCUUUCCACUGCAUGGUACUUGGCAGCAGCAUUCACUGUAUGUUUAAAUUGUAUCUUGUGAAGACACUCAUGAAAGGGGAUUUCCAGAACUGCUUCCAAAAGUGGCAAGAAUGGUGGGAUAAAUGAGGAGGGUUAAUGGCAAUAUGUCUUCUGCUGUAAUAAUUUUUUAAAAGUUUAAACAUUCACUGCAUAUUUUGAUCACAUCUCGUGAUAUCUUCACCUUAUAAAUGUUAAGGGAAUGAAAGACAACAAAUGGAAAAAUAGGGAAACAGUAAAUCUGGGUAAAGGAUAUGUGGGAAUUCUUUGUCCUACUUAUUUUUAUACCUUUUCUGUGCAUUUGAAAUUAUAUCAAAAAUAAGAUUAAAAAAUAAUGACAGAAUUCUUUACUUAAAAUGGUGAGAUAUUUUGUGGAGUGAUGUUUUAGUAUAGAAGGUAUUUUCCUCACUUACUUGAAUUCACUGUUAAAAAUCUGCUUCUUUGCCCACAGAAGGAAAUAAUACCUAGUAACACUACUGCAUCCUGACAUUUAAUAUUAAGCUUAAUUUGGGAACAGAACAUGGAAAAAGGAUGCAGGAUAUGUCAAGUUUCUGGCAUUUCGAGGACCAGGGAACUGCUAAUGGUGACAUCACUGCAAAUGAGUUACAGAGAUUGUCCUCAUUUCAAAGACCACAGAGUUAGA